Molecule: ribosomal RNA, 475 nt
Filed under: uncultured Desulfobulbus sp.
Lineage: Bacteria; Pseudomonadati; Thermodesulfobacteriota; Desulfobulbia; Desulfobulbales; Desulfobulbaceae
Description: bacterial SSU rRNA
Rfam family: Bacterial small subunit ribosomal RNA
Source: RNAcentral
UUGACGGGGCCCGCACAAGCGGUGGAGUAUGUGGUUAAUUCGAUGCAACGCGAAGAACCUUACCUGGUCUUGACAUCCCGGAGACCCUUAGGAAACUAGGGGUGCUUCCAUCUGGAAGAAUCUGGAGACAGGUGCUGCAUGGCUGUCGUCAGCUCGUGUCGUGAGAUGUUGGGUUAAGUCCCGCAACGAGCGCAACCCUUGCCUUUAGUUGCCAGCAGUUCGGCUGGGCACUCUAAAGGGACUGCCGGUGUUAAACCGGAGGAAGGUGGGGAUGACGUCAAGUCCUCAUGGCCUUUAUGACCAGGGCUACACACGUACUACAAUGGCCGAUACAAAGGGCGGCGACACUGCGAGGUGAAGCCAAUCCCGUAAAAUCGGUCUCAGUCCGGAUUGGAGUCUGCAACUCGACUCCAUGAAGUUGGAAUCGCUAGUAAUCGUGGAUCAGCAUGCCACGGUGAAUACGUUCCCGGGCCUU